GUUGAACCCCACAUCAAUUAUACUAAAAGAUAAUUAAUAGUUAGUUUAAAUAUCUUAACUCCACUCUAACUAACAUCGAGACAUUUUGUGAUAAAAUCUCACACCAUAAAAUUUCAUAUUUGACAGAUUGUGCGGGUGGUAAUUAUCAAGUUGGGGACAAUAUUGGUGUUAUUACAUUCCAUUGCCCCAAUAAGCAUUGAGUUCUGCACAUUGCCGAGCGAGUACCAAAUGCGAUGAGGCGGAUUAGGGACAGCAACACCCGCUAUGAUAACAGUAUCAACAUGUAGAUAGGUGAAAUUGUUUGCAAACUCGUCAUUUGAGGAAAUAUUCUUAGAAAACACAAAAGGUACGUCCUACACCAAACACACGACCUUUGAAAUAUAACACUACAUAAUGAGGUGCAGCUUAUUGGUUCAAACUUUAACUACAGAUUGCAGUGCAACAGAUCAGUUCAAACUUAAGCUCAUAUCGCACGCUCAGCUUCAUUUUCUUUCCAGGCUUCCUUACUUCUUUCGACACAGCUUCGCUCCAAGUGCUCUCUCCAACUUGGUAAUCACCUGCUGAUUUGGAAUCGCCUUCCCAGAUUCAUGCUCUUGGAUCACUUGAGGCUUCUCAUUGAUGAUCUGCAAAUAACCCCGUGAUCAUCAUCAGUAAUUGUGUACACGUGCGUGUGUGAGAGAGACAGAGAUAAUGAAAUAUUAAUAUUGGAGUUGUUGUACUAACAGUAAUAUAAAACACCAAGAUAAAUGGUUGGUGGAAGAGGCCACGGGUAGAUGCCUUAGUUGGGAUAUAUGAGAGAGAGCGCAAAAAUGUGUGUGCAAGCAUAGCUUGUCACCACAGUGUGCAAGUCAAGAGCUUGUCACCAGAAACUGUGGAGUUAGAAACAAACCUAGACUCUAAACACAGAGCCGGCCUAUAUGAGUUCCAAGAAACACCAACAAUCAUGAAAUGAAGGAAAACAAAUUUGGACUCCAAUGGAGCCGACUUCUGAGUUUCGAAGUUUAUAUUUUUCUUCUUCUCUUCCUUGUCAAAAUUCCAACAAGAGAUAGAUAGAUACUUGAGCAAGUUGAGCCUGGGUACGCUUCUUACCAGUUCGAGCUUGCAUGAUAGCUUUCUUCAGCUCACUUGGCACACGUUCAUCUAUUUCAAAAUCAGAUGACACUAAAGCACGAAACCAAAUAGUAGACAAGAGAAAAACCAUCCAGGCAAACAACAAAUAAAUAACUUUGCUGGAUUGCUUCAAUAUAUUUCAGCUGGAAAAGAACCAGAACAUAGAUUCAAAGAAUAUAUAUUAAACCAGAUUGAGGAGCCCAUGCUGGCUCUAAUUGUGGAGGGGAGAGUACGCAAGGACAAGCACACAUACAUUAAUAUAAUUGUAAUUAUAACUCUAUAACUAAAAUAGAGAGAUGUAAAAGGACUACAAACUUUUCCAUUGGCACCAAAACAAGCCAUAGCAUAUGUCUAAACCACACGUUAUGUUGAGCGAGGUCAAGAGUAAGGAAAACUUCAGAGAAAGCAAACAUACAACGAAGAGAAUCUUAGAAUACCACUAGUGCAUAUGAGAGAACAACAACAAAGUCUUAUCCUGCUAAGUGUUGGCUACUAGAGAGGACAACCGAUGCCAAAAAAUAUCAUAGCUACAUAUAUAACAACAACCAAAAAUGAUCUGUGAAGCAAAGGACUUUAUUGUUUUAGCCUCUAUGUUUGUCUAUAGCCAGUUAGGUCCAAUGAACUACUGAAAAGCAUCCUGGCACCAAGUCAAACCAUGAACUCUCCUCCUCCCAUCCGCAUUCCUCGAUGUAACGGUCAUGUCAAGAUAGCAACAGUAUUGGGGAAGAAAGAGGAGAGAAAGACGAUGGACCCUGGGGGGGUUCAACUCCAAAGUUCGAUUUCAAAUUGAAAUGAAGAGGAUUCAAGGAGCAGUACAUACACACAUUAUAUGUAUGAAGAAACGAACCAUGCAACCAACUUGGCAAAAGAAACAAUAGGCCAGAUGCCACACUCUAGUGUUCCUGCAACUGCAGGGUCUUCGGAAUAUAAACGGUAUACAGCCUCAAACCCACUUGUAAAGGGGUUGUUUCCCAUUUCAAACCCGUGACCUCAGAGUUCAAUGGAGCAAACCAUACAAAUGCGCUGAAAGAAUUUUUACCACCUACAAAAGUAGGGAUAAAAAUAUUUAAAAAUACUUGCAAAGGUGCAAGGUUAUCGUAGUAUAGUUGGCUCUAGCAAGGUCUUUCUCCAUAGGGAUUGAAUGAAUAAUUUAUGUUAAAACCAAAUCUUAAUUAAUUAUUUGAAAACAAAGUUUGAAAAAAGGUGAUUUUAUGACCUAAAAUAUUAAAAACGAAUUUAAUUAAAAACAAUUAAAUAAAUUGAGAAAGUAAAGAAAACAAAAGAAAAUAGUUUUGAAAAUAAAUUUGAGCACUAGGGUUCCACCAUCACCUUAAAAAUCAUACGUAGUUCUUCCAAUUACUUAUGACUUACCCAUUCAAUGCAUAUUUUGAAGGUUAGGUUUUCCUAAAGCAUGUCAUACUUGAAACCUCCAACAUAAAACAUAUAUUUAACAUACAACCCAUCUGUAGCGUCUAGAUCGAAUGUGAACAUGCAAAACUCAUUAAGUUUUGUGAAAACUUUUUAAAAAACCAUGUAACCCUUAUGACGUGUCGUCGAUCCUAAAAACUUACACAUAUUAGCCACAAGAAGCCUUCGUCAAUUUCAGGGACAAUCCCCCUCCAAAAUUGCAUCAAAUUACUUUUCUAAAUAUCCUAAUGGUGGCCAAUCAUCAAGACAAGUAGAUAGUUUUAAACACGGUGAUUAAUAAUUCAAAACUGCAUGCAUAAUAUCAUAAAUAAAUUGAAAAGAAACUACAUAUUCUUGCUAAGGCUUAUGACCUAACCCUAACAAACGAAAUUAGUUACUAACAAUCAUAAAACAAAAUAUCAUUAAGAACAUAGAUAGAAAACACCUUGAAAAUAAAUUUGAAUCGUCAAAAGCUCUCUAAUCAGAAUUCUCCAAAGUAAUGCGUUCUUCUUUUCUCUUACCCUAAUGGCUAAAUAGCCUUAUUUAUAUACUACAAAAUAAAACCCUAACUAGAAAAGGUCUUCUAAAAACUAGGAAACAUAAUAGAAUAAGAUAACUAGGAAAUAAAAGGUUUCCUAUUUAAACUAAAAUUCAGACUGCAGAUAAAAUCCAUCUUUUGACCAACCAAAUCAACUCCGAUUUGGUCCCAAAAUAUCUCUUUUUAAAUCUUGAGACAUCCCUAACAAAUCCUCAGAAGGAAUCUUCCUCAAAAUAUGCCAUCUUGACCUUCAAAGUACUCAAAACGUCAAGAAACGUCAAUUCGAAAAAUCUGCACUUUGGGCCUUUAUUUAAUCACCAUGGUCAAACGGCAUGGUAGAAACGUGGACAACACAACUCAUGUAAGGUCCCUCCUCUCAUUAAUUCAUUAUCAACACACCCUCUCACAUAGGACGAAUUUUCAAGUCUGCGUGGACAACACAACUCAGGUGACAUGAAGCGUGUGUGAGCGUUGGACAAUGUGGGACAACCUACUCUGGCACCCUGAAGAAAGUUGAGGUUCUACUAUAAAACUAAUUGGCAAUAUAGGGAGUAGCACAACCUCUUAUAAACCCUUGCAAAGUUUCUCCUCUCAUUAAUGUGAAACUCUUUUACCUUCAUAUCCUCACACACAGUAACUAUUAGAAUUACAACUUCGAAAAUUAUAAAAUGGAGUAAGCAACCACCCCAUAAAAUAAACUUUUAUACCCGAUCCUAUGGCACACCAAGUUGGAAAGAAACUAAAAGUCUAAUACCAUAUUGUUGUUCCUAAAAACUACCAAGCCUACGUAGUGCGCAAACCGAGUAACUAAUGAGCUAACUACGUCCUUCAAUUGUGUGCGGGGCGUGCCAACUCGUCAACCGAGCUCGGCCGGGAAGUAGAAUGCGUUGCGUGGCGUUGGGCGUGCUGCUGACCUUUUAAUCUUAUGACUGUGGCCGAGGAAGGAACACAUCUCGGCCUUCAGGUUCUAGAGCCUAAAGGCAAGGUUGCUAGUUUUAUGAAGUUCACAAAUCGUCGGCGUCAGAUUUGAUCAUAGUGAUUAUAUUCGUAAAAGUAUAAGCACGCCGAAUCGACACCAAACUAUAUGGGCACAAGCACUCAAAGAAAAUGUGCAUCUUAAUCAUUAACGUAUUUCAGCCGUCAGAAUGCCGAACUCUAAAUCCCACUUGUGAGUAUCCAAUCAUAAAACAACUCGGUGUUCUAUGCUCCGAGCCCAGUAAUGUGUAACACCUCACCUCGCCUAAAAGGCUAAUGAGAUGACCUCUGCCAAUAAGGAUUCAAAAUCCUUCUCGACCGAGACUUGGAUAGAUAAUCAGUCGGCCUUGACGUAGUGCUGUUUAUCCAAAUUGAAGGUGCUUCGCGAUAGAUUGAUUCUACGGCAACAAUGUCGUUUAUCCAAACUGAAGGUGUUCGCCGAUUGCCUUCACAUUGCUGUUUAUCCAAACUGAAGAUGUGUUGGCGAAAAAGAAAAUAAAAAUCUCAAGAUUGUUGAGAGGUUUCACAUAGAGCAAGAGUUUGCACAAGGCAGUUUGUCUGCUAAGUUGGAGAGGCUUAGAAUGAUGCACCCCUUUCUUAUUUAUAGCAGCCAAUCUCAUCAUGGCCGAACCAGGACUAUACUCGGAUUAGGAUUCUUUAUCCUAAUCUAACCAAGUCUCGGCCAAUCUUACCUCCACUAGGACCCUAAACCAAGCUCUUUAUCCGGCCAUUCACUUCUCAAAUCCCGGCAUCCUCAUUCCAAUAAUACUCCUUAUCAUACUAGAACUUGGCCCAUUCACUCUUAUCUAGAUCAAUCCUUCUUGCAAUAGGACUCGACCAACCUGACUAGGUAGCCCAUAGUACUCUUGGAAAAACUUUGGACCGAACAUAAACCUUCGCUUGGCCCAAUAAUAUUAUUUUGGGCCCAAACACAUACACAUCGACAACCGAAAUGCCAUUAGAAAAGGAAGAACAUUAAGAUUAUCGAGCCCGACAAUGACUACGAGAACCAAUGCACAUGGUGAGAAUCAUUCGCACAAACAAAUUAGAAAAGGGUAACGUUAGAGAGACUAAAUUUAAAGAUAAAAUUUGCAAAUUAAAUGAUGCGUCACCAAUAUAAAUGAGCACGUUUAUUAACGUUUUAGUAAUAAAUCAAUCAUUAACUUUUGUGUCCUUUAAUUUUCAAAAUUUUGUCUACAAAUUUAGUUUCCCUAACAUUAAUCAUUAGAUAAACCCCAUUAGCUACAAGCUAAUAUAAAUCAAACAAGAUAAUUGAGCUGGAACAGUGAACCAACAGCUACCCGAAUGGAAAAAAUUUGCUACCACCUUAUUUUUGUCUGUCCAUUACUUAGAUUUCAAAAUUUCAACUUAUAAAAACCUCACUUAAGGCCGUUCAAGAAUUGGCAUGCAGCAUCCAACCAUAUUUAAUUGUGACGUUAAAGUCAUUUUCUUGACUAACAAGGGUCUUCUUCCCACUUGCAAAAGCCACGGGUAGGUUAUCCCAAAUCCAACAUUUGGUUCAUCAAAACUUCCUUUCCAAUGGGCUUGACUAGUAGGAAGGGUCGACGAAGGUGAAUUGCAGCCCUCCUGAGGGAGGUGACUUUUGACUUAUAUUACAACUUGUACUUACUUUAGUUUUUAAUUACCAGUUGGUACCUUAGACUCAGUAAAAAUAAUAAUUUCUAAGUAGUAUUGUCUAGGUACGUACAUUUGCUGCUCUCAUGGAUUCUUGAUAUAUGAUAUAAUACCACUCGAUCGGCUAGAUUUCCACACAUGAAAGAUGGGCAACAAUAAUGCUAAACAUACAAAAACCACAAGCCAUACUCUCCCUACGACGUCCAUGGCCACUUACCAAACAGCUGAUCAUCCAGCAGCUGCUGCAUGGUCAGAGCUUCUAGGCUCAAACAACUGGGAUUGCCUCUUGGACCCUCUAGACCUCAAUCUCCGAACCCUCAUCCUCCGCUGCGGCAACUUCUGCCAGGCCACCUACGACGCCUUCAACAACGACCAAAACUCCAAGUACUGCGGAUCCAGCCGCUAUGGCAAACACUCCUUCUUCGACAAGGUCAUGCUCCAAGACGCCGCCAACUACCAAGUCUCUUGCUUCCUCUACGCCACCGCCCAAGUCAGCGUCCCCGAAGCCUUGCUUCUCAAAUCCAAGUCCCGCGAGUCGUGGGAUCGGGAGUCUAACUGGAUCGGCUACAUCGCCGUCACCACCGAUGAAGUCAGCAAAGUCAUCGGUCGACGUGAAAUCUACGUCGCAUGGCGCGGCACGAUUAGAAACUACGAGUGGAUUAAUGUGAUGGGAGCUGAGCUAGAGUCCGCGGAGAUCAUUUUAGGUUCUUCUCAUGCCAGCCUAGCGAAUGGUCAUCAAAAUCACGAUGACAAGGAUGACGAUGAAGAUGACGAAAAAGUGCCGAAAGUCAUGAGGGGUUGGCUUACAAUGUACAUUUCCAACGACCCGAAGUCCCCGUUUACGAAAACAAGCGCCAGAGUCCAACUUGUGACAAAAAUAAACGAGCUGAGGAACAAGUACAAGGACGAGAAGCUGAGCAUAACCAUGACAGGACACAGUCUCGGUGCGAGUUUGUCGGUUUUGAGCGCUUUCGAUUUGGCCGAAAAUGGGGUAUCCGAUAUCCCAAUUGCGGUUUUUGUAUUUGGUUGUCCACAUAUCGGAAACAAGGCACUGAAAAGACGGAUUGAGACGCACCCGAAUCUGAAGAUACUGCAUAUUAAGAACACCAUUGAUGUCAUUCCGCACUAUCCGGUCCAUGUAAUGGGGUACCGGAAGGUCGGGACGGAGCUUUUGAUUGAUACGAGGAAGUCACCGUUCUUGAAGGAGUCGAAGAAUCCGAGCGACUGGCAUAACUUGGAGGGGAUUCUGCAUGUGGUGGCGGGGUGGAACGGGGAGGAAGGGGAGUUUGAUCUGAGGGUGAAGAGGAGCGUGGCGUUGGUGAACAAGUCUUGUGAUUUUCUCAAGGAGGAGUGUCAUGUGCCGGCGGUGUGGUGGGUGGAGAAGAACAGAGGCAUGGUGCUUGAUAAGAGCAGCGGAGAGUGGGUGUUGUCUCCGCCGUCUGAUGAGGAUCUACCGGCCCCUGAGUUUUGACAGGUAGUGGUGGUGGUGGUGGUUGAUGGCGGCGGGACAAAGAAGAAGUGGUGGGUUCCGCCUUCAUAGGGUCAAGUCAAUGGUUCCAUAUCCAGUACUGUAAUGUUAUUUGUCUUGUUUAAGUUGUUUGUGCAGGUCUCUUUUGUUUAAUGUUGGUCAUUUCAUGGUGUUUCAUACAGUGAGCUAAUUUUUACACUAUUUUAAGUUUUUCACAUCUAUUUAAAAAUUCAGUUAUCAGAUUGAAUAAAUAAAACAAGAAAGAGACGCAAGAAAUUAAAAAAAAUUAUAUUUAUCAGUGUUGUAUGCACUUUUGAGUUUGGAUUUAAUGGAUUUAAUUAAUCCAUAGAAGAGAGAGGUAAAGCCAGUGGUUAUUAUUAAUUGUGACUGCUUGUAUCUGGCGGUUAUCAGUCUUUACUCUUUAUACAUACGAAUUGAUUGAUUAAGAUAUUAAGGCCUAGUCGAAUAGGAAUGACUAAUUUGGAUACAAUUAUUCACGACAUUGAAGGCAUUUUGAAGGAAGAAAUGAAAGAAAAUUUUCAUAUUUUGUCCAAAUUAAAAGUUACUCAAAGAAAAUAUAUCCUUACUAAUCCCCAAAAAAUAGAGAUUUGAAAGUUACCCAAAAUGCCUUUAAUAUAGUAGUUCUCUCUAUCAAACGAGUUCUAAAUAUAGAUAACGAUCUUGAGUGUGAGUUAGCAUUGAGUUGAACACAUUUGGACCGCACAUUGUUUGCAGACUCGUCAUUUGAGGAAUUAUUUUUAGAAAACACAAGGUACUUUCUACACCAGAAACACGACCUUUGAAAGAUUACAAAAUGAGGUGCAGCGCAUUAGCCCAAACUUCAACUACAGAUUGCAGUGCAACAGAUCAGUUCAAACUUAAAUUCAUAUCGCUCG
Molecule: long non-coding RNA, 8029 nt
Filed under: Malus domestica (apple)
Lineage: Eukaryota; Viridiplantae; Streptophyta; Magnoliopsida; Rosales; Rosaceae
Description: long non-coding RNA (MDOM_LNC017813)
Source: RNAcentral